GCGCUCGCCGGGGGACUCGCCCUCGCGGCCACCGCGUGCAGC
This 42-nucleotide unclassified non-coding RNA is filed under the name Sorangium cellulosum So ce56. RNAcentral's name for it is "sce_s2m_42". Lineage: Bacteria; Pseudomonadati; Myxococcota; Polyangiales; Polyangiaceae. The record is from RNAcentral.